Molecule: long non-coding RNA, 2507 nt
Organism: Mustela putorius furo (domestic ferret)
Lineage: Eukaryota; Metazoa; Chordata; Mammalia; Carnivora; Mustelidae
Source: Ensembl
GGGAGAUGGAGGUACCCACAUAGGGCUGAAUCUCAUGAUCCUGAGAUUAUGACCUAAGCCAAAAUCAAGAGUCAGGGGGUGACUGGGUGGCUCAGUGGGUUGAGCCACUGCCUUCGGCUCAGGUCAUGAUCUCAGGGUCCUGAAAUCGAGUCCCAUGUCUGGCUCUCUGCUCAGCAGGGAGCCUGCUUCCUCCUCUCUCUCUCUGCCUACUUGUGAUCUCUCUGUCAAAUAAAUAAAUAAAAUAUUUAAAAAAAAAAUCAAGAGUCAGGUACCUAGCCAACUGAGCCACCCAGGCAUCCUGAAUGAUAAAGUUCUUUUUUAAAAAAGCUGCACAAUAGAAAUCUGUUAGAGCUAUUACUAAAAAAAGCCAUUAACCCAUGAAGAAAUGCUUGCAAAUAAAUGCAAGUAAUUAAUGUAAAUUAAAAACCCAAUCCCAGUUUUAAAGAAAAAAUUGCUAAAAGUAAAGAUACAGGAAUAACUUUCCUUCCCACCCCUCCAUUUUAUUGAGAUAUGACUGAUAUAUAACAUUGUAUUAAUUUAAGGUAUACAACACAACGAUUUGUUAUAUGUAUAUAUUCCAAAAUGAUUAUCACAGUAAGUUUAGUUAACAUCCAUCAACUUAGUUACAAAAUGUUUUUUCUUGUGAUUAGAACUUCUAAGAUCUACUCUCUUAGCAACUUUCAAAUAUACAAUACAGUGUUGUUAACUAUAGUCACCAUGCUGUACAGGAUAUCCCCAGAACUUAUAUUAUGACUGGAAGUUUGUACCUUUUGACCACCUUCACUCAUUACCUGGCCUCCAUCCCCAACUCAUUCUCUGCAUUCUCUGCCUCUAGCAAACCAGCAAUCUGUUUUCUGUUUCUAUGGGUUCCCUUAUCUUAGAUUCCCCAUAUAAGUGAGAUCAUACAGUAUGUCUUUUUCUGUAUGACUUAUUUCACUAGGAAUAUCAUUCUUAUUAAAAAGGUUAUAUUAGGGGUGCCUGGGUGGCUCAGUGGGUUAAAUCCUCUGCUUUCGGCUCAGGUCAUGAUCCCAGGGUCCUGGGAUCGAGCCCCGCAUCGGGCUCUCUGCUCUGCAGGGAGCCUGCUUCCUCCUCUCUCUCUCUCUGCCUCUCUGCCUACUUGUGAUCUGUCAAAUAAAUAAAUAAAAUCUUAAAAAAAUAAAUAAAUAAAAGAAAAGAAAAGAAAGGUUUUGUCCUUUAUUUAACAUUUGGUGGAAAAAGUGUAAAGUAUAUACAGUUCACUUAAUCACUGAAUAUCUUUGCCUAUACAUCUCUUAUUUAAUACUUUAGCCACCGAUAAUCUGUAUAAACAACCACAAAUACUUACACCUUGAAGAUUUAUCUGUUCUUCCAGAAGAAAGUAUCACAAGUACAAAGUUUCAUUUCUGCAUGAUCUCUGGUUCUGGCACUCUAGAAAUGUUUAAAGUCAUUUUGGAUAUGGCAUUUACUGUCACUGUGGAUCCAGCUGUAUUGAGUUAUCACUUCUUGAAAGGAAUAAAUUUUGAGAAGGAGUAUGAGGAAAGAAUAGAUUUUACAAAAUGUUAACAAUGAAUCUCACAACUGACCUUUGACUUGUUGGGGUUUUAAGUAUACUGUUAAAGAUUUGUAAUGCACAGUUAAUGGAAGUAUCAGAGAGAGAGAAACUGUGAGCUCAUUAAACAAGAGUGUCAGUACAGGUUUUGUCUUUAUCAUGUGAACCUAAAGGAACAAGUUAUAGUUGAAGUUCAAAUGGGAGAGCCUACCAUUCUUGUCCCAUAACUUGUUGUUGCCAUUUAUUACUGUGUUAAGCUACAUCUUCCUAAGUCUUAAGCUUUUGAGUAGGUAUAUAGUAAACACUUCUGUUUCAUGAUCAAACUACAUUCAGAGACCAUGGAUUCUGAGAACUGAUCUGUUUUCUUCUUUUUCUGUGACUGUAUCCACUUCCUCAUCUUGACCUGGAAAACUUACAAAAAUAAGCGUUUUGUGGCUUAUCCAGGCUUAAUAUCGAAAAUAUGACUUAUUUUUAGUGGGAAAAAUCAGUUCCAGUGAAAUGUGGAGUUUUUUUUUCUAAUUUGUUUUAAAUAAACAUUAUGCCCAGAUGGGUUCCCUGGUGAAUCCUACCAAACAUUUAAGGCAGAAAUUACACCAAUUCUCCAUAAUCUCACACUGAAAAUAGAAGCAGAGAGAAUACUUCCUAACUGAUUCUGUGAGGUCAGAAUUACCCUGAUACCAAAAUCAAAGACAUUAUUAGAAAAGAAAAUUACAAACAGAUUCUCAUGAAUAUAGAUAUAAAAAUACUUAACAAAAUAUUAGUAACCCAAAUCAAAUAAUGUAUAAAGAGAAUUAUCUGCCAUGACCAAAUGGGAUUUAUCCCAGACAUGCAAGGUUGGUUCAACAUUUGAAAAUCAGUUAUGUGGGGCGGCUGGGUGGCUCAGUGGGUUGGGGCGCUGCCUUCAGCUCAGGUCAUGAUCUCAGGGUCCUGGGAUGGAGCCCCACAUCGAGCUCUCUGCUCAGCAGGGAGUCUGCUUCCC